Molecule: long non-coding RNA, 1771 nt
Organism: Alexandromys fortis (reed vole)
Lineage: Eukaryota; Metazoa; Chordata; Mammalia; Rodentia; Cricetidae
Exons: 5
Source: RefSeq, a predicted model, not a curated record
GGGAUGGAAACCCGAGGACAGGACUAUGUCGGGGGUGCAGAAAUGUUUCUGAAUUAAAAAAUGCUGCGAUUUCAUCCAAACCUCCACACUUCUGAGAGAAACGAGGCGUUUGAAGGUUUUCUUGGGCAGAUUUUUGCGAUGGUUAAUCUUGCUUGUCAAUUUGGAUGCAUCUGGAAUCAAGUAAAACGCAGCUACCGGGCGCUUGCAUGGACAAGUCGUUUCCUUCAUCCGAUUAUGUGAAGCGGGAAGACCUACCCUCACUGUGGGCGGCGCCUUCCGGUGGCUGCCCGGACCAGAAGAAACAGAAGAAGGAAAUGACUUUGCCAGCUUAACCCAGUCUUGCUGGCAAAGUCACAUAUCCUGUUAGAACCUAUCCAGCGUUAGAACCAAGUUCUUCAGAAUUCCCAUGCCAACCGAAGACCAGAAGCUCUCAAGGUGGUCUUCAGGCCAUCGGCACUGCUGAGACAUCCAGCCUGGAUUGAAUAAUUACCGGAUGCUUGGCCUCUCCCGUGGGAGACAGUCACUAUUGGGCUACCAGGACCACAUCCGCAUGAAGAAGAAAGCAGAGACCAGAAGAAUGGAUUAGAAUUCAUGAGCCAUUUGUUCAGCUUCGAAUUGAUGGAGUCCCGGCUGACUGGAGAGGCCAGAGUGAAAACUGGCUGAGGUCCCUGCAGAUACGGACCGGCUCGCUCAUUCUUCCUCUGGCAAGGAAAGAACACGGCUCAGACGGAUGUGCUGGAGGAAACGCACCAGGAAAUCCCAAGCAGGGCGCAAUCAGUCACCAUUAAUGCCCAGAAGGAUCAAAGCUACUUGAAGAAAUACAGCCACUUACGGAUGGACGGGAAAAUUGAAUUCAUGAAGCCAUGCCUUCUCCGUGGGCGAUUUCCCGGAGCUGAAGCACUGGAAUUGCACGCUGACCCAGGUUUAAUGAGCACAGCUGCCUGGAAGCAUUGCAUGAUGGGACUUCUGGAGGAUGUGUCUGGAACCCCAGUCAAGAUGCUGAGCUGGCAAGUUGCAUGGCAAAGGACCAACCAGCUCCCCCCCAAGCCCAUGCCUCAGCCCAGUAAAGUCUUCUUAACUCCUUGGGGAUUUUUCCUAACUGCUCACCUAUAAUAAAACGUUUUCCGCAACUCACUCUUCUGCUGUCUGGGAAAUGCAGCCAUGAGUUAAAGGAGGAGGAAUUUUAGUGGUCAUUGAUUACCAGCCAUCUAGUUCCUGAUACUGCUCACCUGAGGAGAGAAGACUGCCUCAGGGCAGAAGCCCCUUCACCUUGCUUUCCCCCUUUACCAAUAAGAGUGUUAAAAAACCAAAAAGUCAUGCGCAAGGCCUCCAUGUAUAUGAUCUCUGGGUACUUGUUCCUUUCCAGGUGUAAUUCCUGUGAUUUUUUUCUGGGACUAUUACAAACAAAACUACACACUUCAUUUGCAUCAAAAGAAAGUGCUGGUGCCGGCUGGUUUUGUGUCACGUUGACACAGGUUAUAAUCAUUUGAAAGAUGGGAAUCUCAGUUGAGAAAAUACCUCCGUAAGAUCCGGCUGCAGGCGAGCCUAUAGGAUAUUUGUAAAUUAGUAAUUGAUGUGGGAGGGCUUGGUCUAUUGUGGAUGGUCCUGUCCCUGGGAUGGUGGUCCUGGGUUCUGUAAGGAAGCAGGAUGAGCAAGCCAUGGGAGUAAGACAGUAACUAGUGUGAAGGCCAAAGUUAUGUUUUAAGUUUAAAUUGCUAUGAUUAAUAGAUCCAUAAAACAAAAAUGCUUCAAACCUGUAAGCCCCACUUGC